GGGGCUGUGGCUCAGUGGUAGAGCAUCAGCUUGGCAUGCACAGGGUUCCAGGUUCAAUCUCCGGCAUCUCCA
This 72-nucleotide transfer RNA is filed under the name Sphaerodactylus townsendi. RNAcentral's name for it is "tRNA-Ala". It matches the Rfam family "tRNA". Rfam says of the family: Transfer RNA (tRNA) molecules are approximately 80 nucleotides in length. Lineage: Eukaryota; Metazoa; Chordata; Lepidosauria; Squamata; Sphaerodactylidae. The record is from RNAcentral.